RNAcentral lists this ribosomal RNA (497 nucleotides) under uncultured bacterium. RNAcentral describes it as "partial 16S ribosomal RNA". It matches the Rfam family "Bacterial small subunit ribosomal RNA", at positions 28 to 507 of the family's 1533-position model. The record is from RNAcentral.
GAUGAACGCUGGCGGCGUGCCUAAUACAUGCAAGUCGAGCGAACAGACGAGGAGCUUGCUCCUCUGACGUUAGCGGCGGACGGGUGAGUAACACGUGGAUAACCUACCUAUAAGACUGGGAUAACUUCGGGAAACCGGAGCUAAUACCGGAUAAUAUGUUGAACCGCAUGGUUCAAUAGUGAAAGACGGUCUUUCUGUCACUUAUAGAUGGAUCCGCGCCGCAUUAGCUAGUUGGUAAGGUAACGGCUUACCAAGGCAACGAUGCGUAGCCGACCUGAGAGGGUGAUCGGCCACACUGGAACUGAGACACGGUCCAGACUCCUACGGGAGGCAGCAGUAGGGAAUCUUCCGCAAUGGGCGAAAGCCUGACGGAGCAACGCCGCGUGAGUGAUGAAGGUCUUCGGAUCGUAAAACUCUGUUAUUAGGGAAGAACAAAUGUGUAAGUAACUAUGCACGUCUUGACGGUACCUAAUCAGAAAGCCACGGCUAACUACGUG